UCAUAUUCACCAGAAAAACUUUAUCUUCCACAUUCUAAUCGUCCUCCUUCCGUCCUUGUUACACAAUCAAAACAAGAUUCCAGGGCAAACCUCGUUCAGGCCCAGGCAGCCAUUACAAGCCAUUACAGGGAGGACGUCCAGGAAGGGAACCGCUGCAGCAUCAAGAAAAGCCUGCCAGAAGAUCACAUAGAGAAGAAAAGGCAUUAGCUUGGCACACAUCACGUACAACAAGAUGAGGUAAAUUUAUCACACAAGCACAUUGUCUCAUCCAUGACUAUUGAACAUGAUAUCCAUAACUUGAUUUGGAAACAUGCCCCAAAUUACUACUGUAGACAGAAAUGUAUCACAUGACCAAGGACAAGAUGAUGCACAUGAAGGACCCAUUAGUGACAGCACAUAAAGGUUCUCAAACUUGGCAACUCCAAUGCCAGUGACAUUGCAAUACAAAAAUAGUUAGAUUUCUUUCAAGGUAUCCACAUCGAAAUGAUGCGGAUGGGGAUAAGUUAAAUUGGAGCUGAGAGUUAUUUGGAGUUAUGGUUCGUUCUAGAGCUUAGAAAAUAUUUUCUAGUUAGGUUGAGGUCUCAUUUAACGUUUCUUCGAGUUAGCAUUACUGUAGGGUUAGUAUUAUAGGGUUUGAUUUAAUCUUUAGAAGCAAGGUCAUUGUCGUAAUUCCAAAAUUAAUUAGAAAUACAAAAUUAAUAAUUUAUUAGGGUAUUUUACGAAGUC
Molecule: long non-coding RNA, 726 nt
Organism: Tripterygium wilfordii
Lineage: Eukaryota; Viridiplantae; Streptophyta; Magnoliopsida; Celastrales; Celastraceae
Exons: 2
Source: RefSeq, a predicted model, not a curated record